CAGAACAUUACUAAAGGCUUAUUUACAUCAUGUCCAGCUGUCAAGAAAAAAUUACAAGACAUACUAAAAGGCAAAAAACAGUUUGAAGAGAAAGCACACUACAGAACCAGAUUCAGAUAUGGCAGAGAUUUUGAAAUUAUCAGCCUUGGAAUUUAAAACAACUAUGGUUAAAAUACUAAGGGCUCUAAUGGAUAAAAUAGACAGCAUGCAAGAACAGAUGGGCAAUGUAAGCAGAGAGUUGGAAAUUCUAAGAAAGAACCAAAAAGAAAUGCUGGAGAUCAAAAACACUGCCUUUUUGAGGAAUGACUACGAUGGGCUUAUUUGUAGACUGGACAUGACUGAGGAAAGAAUCUCUAGGCUUAGAGAUAGGGUAACAGAAACCUCCAAAAUUGAAAAAGCAGAAUGAAAAGGCAUUACAGAAUAUGCAAGAACUGUGGGACAACUACAAAAGAUCUAAUAUAUAUGUAAUAAAAAUUGCAGAAGGAGAAAAAAGAAAUAAAGGACCAGGAGAAAUAUUUGAAACAAUAAUGACUGAGAAUUUCCCCCAAAGUUACAACAGAUACCAAACCACAUAUCUAGUACAUUCAGAGAACACUAAGGAUAAAUGGCCAAAGAAACUACACCUAGUCACAUCACUUUCAAACCAAAGAAAAUCAAAGAUAAAGAAAAAAUCCUGAAAGAAGCCAGAGGAAAAAAAUACCUUACAUAGGAGCAAAAAAUAAUAAUUACAUUUGAUUUCUCCUCAGAAAUCAUGCAAGAGUACAGUGAAAUAUGUAAAAUGUUGACAGAAAAAAAAUCUACCUAGAAUUAUGUACCCCAUGAAAUUAUCCUUCAAAAGUUAAGGAGAAAUAAAGACUUUCUCAAGCAAACAAAAAUUGAGGAAAUUUGUUGCGAGCAGACCUGCCUUUUGAGAUACGUUAGAUGUUCUUUAGGGAGAGGUAAAAUGAUAUAGGUCAGAAACUCUAAUCUACUUAAAGAAAAGAACAUCAGAGAAGGAAUAGGAGAAGUAAAAUGUUUUUACCUUAUUAAUUUUAUUUUCUUUAUUCUUAAUUGGUCUAAAAGACAACAAUUUGUUCUAAGUAACAAUACCA
RNAcentral lists this long non-coding RNA (1091 nucleotides) under Equus caballus (horse). RNAcentral describes it as "lncRNA (ENSECAG00000049187.1)". Lineage: Eukaryota; Metazoa; Chordata; Mammalia; Perissodactyla; Equidae. The record is from RNAcentral.